CAUGCCCCUUAUACGCUGGGCUACACACGUGCUACAAUGGGUAGAACAGAGAGUCGCAAAGCUGUGAAGUGGAGCUAAUCUCAGAAAACUAUUCUUAGUUCGGAUUGUACUCUGCAACUCGAGUACAUGAAGUUGGAAUCGCUAGUAAUCGCGAAUCAGCAAUGUCGCGGUGAAUACGUUCUCGGGUCUUGUACACACCGCCCGUCACACCACGAGAGUUGGUUGCACCUGAAGUAGCAGGCCUAACCGUAAGGAGGGAUGCUCCGAGGGUGUGAUUAGCGAUUGGGGUGAAGUCGUAACAAGGUAUCCGUACGGGAACGUGCGGAUGGAUCACCUCCUUUCUAAGGAGUAUAAGUCUUUCUCUAUUCUAUUGGUAAUGUUCUUUACAUUACUUCUGAACAUUGGAAACUAUAUAGUAGAACAAACAAGAAAAAAAUUAACUCUAACAAUUUCUUAGAGUUAGCUGUCAAAAAAUAGGUUAAAAUAAUUAAGGGCACACAAAGGAUGCCUUGGUAGUAAGAGCCGAUGAAGGACGUGGUAAGCUGCGAUAAGCCUAG
This 557-nucleotide small RNA is filed under the name uncultured Fusobacterium sp. RNAcentral's name for it is "bacterial SSU rRNA". The stretch from base 1 to 341 matches the Rfam family "Bacterial small subunit ribosomal RNA", at positions 1194 to 1533 of the family's 1533-position model. The record is from RNAcentral. Lineage: Bacteria; Fusobacteriati; Fusobacteriota; Fusobacteriia; Fusobacteriales; Fusobacteriaceae.